RNAcentral lists this ribosomal RNA (120 nucleotides) under Lepisosteus oculatus (spotted gar). Lineage: Eukaryota; Metazoa; Chordata; Actinopteri; Semionotiformes; Lepisosteidae. The record is from RNAcentral.
GCCAGCAGCCAUAUCACCCUGCAAAUCACAACUGGCAACCCCCUGAAGUUAAGCGGGUGUGAGCCUGGUCAGUACCUGGAUGGGAGACCUCCUGGGGAAAAACUAAGGUUGCUGCUGGAA